Molecule: ribosomal RNA, 65 nt
Filed under: Actinomyces sp.
Lineage: Bacteria; Bacillati; Actinomycetota; Actinomycetes; Actinomycetales; Actinomycetaceae
Also listed under: 3 other names
Description: partial 16S ribosomal RNA
Rfam family: Bacterial small subunit ribosomal RNA
Source: RNAcentral
UGUUUGGAGAGUUUGAUCCUGGCUCAGGACGAACGCUGGCGGCGUGCUUAACACAUGCAAGUCGA